AAAGGCUUAGUUGAGUUGAGUAUAUUAUUUCCUUCUCUUGCAAAUGCUAUCUACAUUUUUUUUUAACUUUUCUUUCAUAGAUUUCACCAAUUCAAGUGUUCUGGUACACGUUUAGGGGGUAGAAGCGAUUCAGGUAACACGUUCUAAUACGCAUUCAAACUUGAUUGUUUUGAACAUGUACUUAAUAACCAAUUCACAAUCUCACUCAGAGAUCCCAGAACCAUCAAAUAAACACCAAACUUCAAAAUAGAGCAAUUAUAUCUUCAGUUACUCACAAUCUGCAGCUUAAUUGUCUUGCCAUCCAGCUCCACAGUUCUGAUUUU
Molecule: unclassified non-coding RNA, 323 nt
Filed under: Hevea brasiliensis (rubber tree)
Lineage: Eukaryota; Viridiplantae; Streptophyta; Magnoliopsida; Malpighiales; Euphorbiaceae
Source: RNAcentral